UACGAAGGGUGCAAGCGUUAAUCGGAAUUACUGGGCGUAAAGCGUGCGUAGGCGGUUUGUUAAGUCUGCUGUGAAAUCCCCGGGCUCAACCUGGGAACUGCAUUUGUGACUGCAUAGCUAGAGUACGGUAGAGGGGGAUGGAAUUCCGCGUGUAGCAGUGAAAUGCGUAGAUAUGCGGAGGAACACCGAUGGCGAAGGCAAUCCCCUGGACCUGUACAGACGCUCAUGCACGAAAGCGUGGGGAGCAAACAGG
Molecule: ribosomal RNA, 253 nt
Filed under: uncultured bacterium
Lineage: Bacteria
Description: partial 16S ribosomal RNA
Rfam family: Bacterial small subunit ribosomal RNA
Source: RNAcentral